RNAcentral lists this ribosomal RNA (471 nucleotides) under uncultured bacterium. Its description in RNAcentral is "bacterial SSU rRNA". It matches the Rfam family "Bacterial small subunit ribosomal RNA", at positions 29 to 526 of the family's 1533-position model. The record is from RNAcentral.
AAUGAACGCUGGCGGCGUGGAUUAGGCAUGCGAGUCGAACGAACCAGCAAUGGUUAGUGGCGGAAGGGAGAGUAAUGCGUGGGAAUCUGCCCCUGGGACUGGGAUAGCUACGGGAAACUGUAGGUAAUACCAGAUAAUAUCUCUGGAUCAAAGGCGCGAACCGCCUGGGGAUGAGCCCGCGUGCUAUUAGGUAGUUGGUAGGGUAACGGCCUACCAAGCCAUAGAUGGCUAGCAGGUGUGAGAGCACGACCUGCCUCACUGGGACUGAGACACUGCCCAGACACCUACGGGUGGCUGCAGUCGAGAAUCUUCGGCAAUGAGCGCAAGCUUGACCGAGCGACGCCGCGUGCGGGAUGGAGGCCUUCGGGUUGUAAACCGCUUUUCGAGAGGAUGAAGUGUCGGAGCACAUCCGAUUUGACAUAUUCUCGGAAUAAGUACGGGCUAAGUUCGUGCCAGCAGCCGCCGUAACAC